RNAcentral lists this ribosomal RNA (253 nucleotides) under uncultured bacterium. RNAcentral describes it as "partial 16S ribosomal RNA". It matches the Rfam family "Bacterial small subunit ribosomal RNA", at positions 524 to 776 of the family's 1533-position model. The record is from RNAcentral.
UACGAAGGGGGCUAGCGUUGCUCGGAAUCACUGGGCGUAAAGCGCACGUAGGCGGCUUUCUAAGUCAGGGGUGAAAUCCUGGAGCUCAACUCCAGAACUGCCUUCGAUACUGGAUGGCUUGAGACCGGAAGAGGUAAGUGGAACUGCGAGUGUAGAGGUGAAAUUCGUAGAUAUUCGCAAGAACACCAGUGGCGAAGGCGGCUUACUGGUCCGGAUCUGACGCUGAGGCGCGAAAGCGUGGGGAGCAAACAGG